RNAcentral lists this long non-coding RNA (528 nucleotides) under Heterocephalus glaber (naked mole-rat). Its description in RNAcentral is "lncRNA (ENSHGLG00100029336.2)". The record is from RNAcentral. Lineage: Eukaryota; Metazoa; Chordata; Mammalia; Rodentia; Bathyergidae.
AUCUCCUUUCCCCUCCCUCACACACUCACACCAAUUGUGACACCUUUUCAAGGCUGUCCUUUAAUGUGUGUGUUUGGAAAGUAGAAAAGGAGGCGGCAAAGAAAUACACGUAAUACAAUUUACUCCAAGACCCAAGACUUAAGACCAUGUAUCAGAGAUGACUUCGCUUAGGGGUUCAGAAAAUUCACUGGCAGAAGUCCAAGAUUAAGGUGCCAGCACAUUUAGUUUCUGGCAAGGCGUCUGUUCCUGGCUUGCAAUGGUCACCUUCUGAAUGGAUCUUCACAUUGAUAGAAAAGAGCUAUACGAAAGAUUACACAACUCAGUUCUGACCAUUGAGGAAAAGAAGCCAUUAGUUUCCUGGUGAAUGAAGAUAGACACAGCUUGAGUCAUACCCUCCCCUUUCUGCCUUGAAUGUAGACUCUUUCUCCUCCGUGAUGCCCCUCUGCCAUGCCACCCUACAUUGGAGCCAGCCAACUACGGACUGAAACCUCUACAAACUGUGGCUGCAAUAAAUCUUUCCUCCCUUAA